AAUUCACUCAGAACUAACAAGAAUGAUAACAUGCUCCGACUGGAGCGGUUUAGGAACUGCUGGAAGGCUCUAGGGGAAUAAAGAUGGAAUGACUUCUAAUUUUUAGGUCCGUAUGAUUUGAAAUACUUGCACACAAACCACGCGAAAGCGUUCCUGGAAAUCUCAGCCCAAAAAAGGACGUUUAGUAAUUCUAAAAGGGACUACAGGAUGAAAAACAAUAGUUUUGGCAGUUAAAGUUUGAGAUUCGACAGUGCCGUAGAUCCGUUUGGUCAUCAGGUAUUACGAGCCACACCCAUGUCUAGCUAGAAUAGUGUGCUAGGCUCAGGCUAGAGAAGAAACGGGGAACAAACUGAUGAAAGAAUGAUCAAACCGAGGGAAUUCACUCAGAACUAACAAUAAUGAUAACGUGCUCCGACUGGUGCGGUUUAGGAACUGCUGGAAGGCUCUAGGGGAAUAAAGAUGGAAUGACUUCUAAUUUUUAGGUCCGUAUGAUUUGAAAUACUUGCACACAAACCGCGCGAAAGCGUUCCUGGAAAUCUCAGCCCAAAAAAGGACGUUUAGUAAUUUUAAAAGGGACUAUAGGAUGAAAAACAAUAGUUUUGGCAAUUAAAGUUUGAGAUUCGACGGUGUCGUAGAUCCGUUUGGUCAUCAGGUGUUACGAGCCACACCCAUGUCUAGCUAGAAUAGUAUGUCAGGCUCAGGUUAGAGUAGAAACGGGGAACAAACUGAUGAAAGAAUGAUCAUACCAAGGGAAUUCACUCAGAACUAUCAAGAAUGAUAACGUGCUCCGACUGGAGUGAUUUAGGAACUGCUGGAAGGCUCUAGGGGAAUAAAGAUGGAAUGACUUCUAAUUUUUACGUCCGUAUGAUUUGAAAUACUUGCACACAAAUCACGCAAAAGCGUUCCUGGAAAUCUCAGCCUAAAAAAGGACGUUUAGUAAUUCUAAAAGGGACUACAGGAUGAAAAACAAUAGUUUGGGCAGUUAAAAUUUGAGAUUCGACGGUGCCGUAGAUCCGUUUGGUCAUCAGGUGUUACGAGCGACACCCUUGUCUAGCUAGAAUAGUGUGUUAGGCUCAGACUAGAGAAGAAACGGGGAACAAAGUGAUGAAAGAAUGAUCAUACCGAGGGAAUUCACUCAGAACUAACAAGAAUGAUAACGUGCUCCGACUGGAGCGGUUUAGUAACUGCUGGAAGGCUCUAGGGGAAUGAAGAUGGAAUGACUUCUAAUUUUUAGGUCCGUAUGAUUUGAAAUACAUGCACACAAACCCUGAGAAAGCGUUCCUGGAAAUCUCGGUCGAAAAAAGGAUGUUUAAUAAUUCUAAAAGGGACUACCGGAUGAAAAACAAUAGUUUUGGCAGUUAAAGUUUGUGAUUCGAUGGUGCCGUAGAUCUGUUUGGUCAUCAGGUGUUACGAGCCACACCCAUGUCUAUCUAGAAUAGUGUGUUAGGCUCAGGCUAGAGCAGAAACGGGGAACAGACUUAUGAAAGAAUGAUCAUACCGAGGGAAUUCACUCAGAACUAACAAGAAUGAUAACGUGCUCCGACUGGCGCGGUUUAGGAACUGCUGGAAGGCUCUAGGGGAAUAAAGAUGGAAAGACUUCUAAUUUUUAGGUCCGUAUGAUUUGAAAUACUUGCACACAAACCGCACGAAAGCGUUCCUGGAAAUCUCAGCCUAAAAAGGAUGUUUAGUAAUUCUAAAAGGGACUACAAGAUGAAAAAUAAUAGUUUGGGCAGUUAAAAUUUGAGAUUCGACGAUGCCGUAGAUCCGUUUGGUCAUCAGGUGUUAUGAGCCACACCCAUGUCUAGCUAGAAUAGUGUGUUAGGCUCAGGCUAGAGAAGAAACGGGGAACAAACUGAUGAAAGAAUGAUCAUACCGAGGGAAUUCACUCAGAACUAACAAGAAUGAUAACGUGCUCCGACUGGAGCAGUUUAGAAACUGCUGGAAGGCUCUAAUGGAAUAAAGAUGGAAUGCCUUCAAAUUUCUAGGUCCGUAUGAUUUGAAAUACUUGCACACAAACCGCUCGAAAGCGUUCCUGGAAAUCUCAGCCCAAAAAAGGACGUUUAGUAAUUCUAAAAGGGACUACAGGAUGAAAAACAAUAGUUUUGGCAGUUAAAGUUUGAGAUUCGAUGGUGCCGUAGAUCCGUUUGGUCAUCAGGUGUAACGAGCCACACACAUGUCUAGCUAGAGUAGUGUGCUAGGCUCAGACUAGAGAAGAAACGGGGAACAAAGUGAUGAAAGAAUGAUCAUACCGAGGGAAUUCACUCAGAACUUACAAGAAUGAUAACGUGCUCCGACUGGAGCGCUUUAGUAACUGCUGGAAGGCUCUAGGCGAAUAAAGAUGGAAUGACUUCUAAUUUUUAGGUCCGUAUGAUUUGAAAUACUUGCACACAAACCACGCAAAACCGUUCCUAGAAAUCUCGGUCGAAAAAAGGACGUUUAGUAAUUCUAAAAGGGACUACAGGAUGAAAAACAAUAGUUUUGGCAGUUAAAGUUUGAGAUUCGAUGGUGCCGUAGAUCCGUUUGGUCAUCAGGUGUUACGAGCCACACCCAUGUCUAGCUAGAGUAGUGUGCUAGGUUCAGACUAGAGAAGAAACGGGGAACAAAGUGAUUAAAGAAUGAUCAUACCGAGGGAAUUCACUCAGAACUAACAAGAAUGAUAACGUGCUCCGACUGGAGCGGUUUAGGAACUGCUGGAAGGCUCUAGGGGAAUAAAGAUGGAAUGACUUCUAAUUUUUACGUCCGUAUGAUUUGAAAUACAUGCACACAAACCACGCAAAAGCGUUCCUGGAAAUCUCAGCCUAAAAAAGGACGUUUAGUAAUUCUAAAAGGGACUACAGGAUGAAAAAUAAUAGUUUGGGCAGUUAAAAUUUGAGAUUCGACGCUGCCGUAGAUCCGUUUGGUCAUCAGGUCUUACGAGCCACACCCAUGUCUAGCUAGAAUAGUGUGUUAGGCUCAGGCUAGAGAAGAAACGGGGAACAAACUGAUGAAAGAAUGAUCAUACCGAGGGAAUUCACUCAGAACUAACAAGAAUGAUAACGUGCUCCGACUGGAGCAGUUUAGAAACUCCUGGAAGGCUCUAGGGGAAUAAAGAUGGAAUGACUUCAAAGUUUUAGGUCCGUAUGAUUUGAAAUACUUGCACACAAACCGCGUGAAAGCGUUCCUGGAAAUCUCAACCCAAAAAAGGGCGUUUAGUAAUUCUAAAAGGGACUACAGGAUGUAAAACAAUAGUUUUGGCAGUUAAAGUUUGAGAUUCGAUGGUGCCGUAGAUCCGUUUGGUCAUCAGGUGUAACGAGCCACACCCAUGUCUAGCUAGAGUAGUGUGCUAGGCUCAGACUAGAGAAGAAACGGGGAACAAAGUGAUGAAAGAAUGAUCAUACCGAGGGAAUUCACUCAUAACUAACAAGAAUGAUAACGUGCUCUGACUUGAGCGGUUUAGGAACUGCUGGAAGGCUAUAGGGGAAUAAAGAUGGAAUGACUUCAAAUUUUUAGGUCCGUAUGAUCUGAAAUACUUGCACACAAACCGCGAGAAAGCGUUCCUGGAAAUCUCAACCCAAAAAAGGACGUUUAGUAAUUCUAAAAGGGACUACAGGAUGAAAAACAAUAGUUCUGGCAGUUAUUGUUUGAGAUUCGAUAAUCUCGUAGAUCCGUUUGGUCAUCAGGUGUAACGAGCCACACCCAUGUCUAGCUAGAGUAGUGUGCUAGGCUCAGACUAGAGAAGAAACGGGGAACAAACUGAUGAAAGAAUGAUCAUACCGAGGGAAUUCACUUAGAACUAACAAGAAUGAUAACGUGCUCCGACUGGAGCGGUUUAGGAACUGCUGGAAGGCUCUAGGGGAAUAAAGAAGGAACGACUUCUAAUUUUUAGGUCCGUAUGAUUUGAAAUAUGUGCACACAAACCACGAGAAAGCGUUCCUAGAAAUCUCGGCCCAAAAGAGGACGUUUAGUAUUCUAAAAGGGACUACAGAAUGAAAAACAAUAGUUUUGGCAGUUAAAGUUUGAGAUUUGACGGUGCCGUAGAUCUGUUUGGUCAUCAGGGGUUACGAGCCACACCCAUGUCUAGCUAGAAUAGUGUGUUAGGCUCAGGCUAGAAAAGAAACGGGGAACAAAGUGAUGAAAGAAUGAUCAUACCGAGGGAAUUCACUCAGAACUAACAAGAAUGAUAACAUGCUCCGACUGGAGCGGUUUAGGAACUGCUGGAAGGCUCUAGGGGAAUAAAGAUGGAAUGACUUCUAAUUUUUAGGUCCGUAUGAUUUGAAAUACUUGCACACAAACCGCGCGAAAGCGUUCCUGGAAAUCUCAGCCCAAAAAAGGACGUUUAGUAAUUCUAAAAGGGACUACAGGAUGAAAAACAAUAGUUUUGGCAGUUAAAGUAUGAGAUUCAACGGUGCCGUAGAUCCGUUUGGUCAUUAGGUGUUACGAGCCACACCCAUGUCUAGCUAGAAUAGUGUGCUAGGCUCAGGCUAGAGAAGAAACGGGGAACAAACUGAUGAAAGAAUGAUCAAACCGAGGGAAUUCACUCAGAACUAACAAUAAUGAUAACGUGCUCCGACUGGAGCGGUUUAGGAACUGCUGGAAGUCUCUAGGGGAAUAAAGAUGGAAUGACUUCUAAUUUUUACGUUCGUAUGAUUUGAAAAACUUGCCCAUAAACCGCGCGAAAGUGUUCCUGGAAAUCUCAGCCCAAAAAAGGACGUUUAGUAAUUUUAAAAGGGACUACACGAUGAAAAACAAUAGUUUUGGCAGGUAAAGUUUGAGAUUCGACAGUGCCGUAGAUCCGUUUGGUCAUCAGGUGUUACGAGCCACACCCAUGUCUAGCUAGAAUAGUAUGUUACGCUCAGGUUAGAGAAGAAACGGGGAACAAACUGAUGAAAGAUGAUCAUACCAAGGGAAUUCACUCAGAACUAACAAGAAUGAUAACGUGCUCCGACUGGAGCGGUUUAGGAACUGCUGGAAGGCUCUAGGGGAAUAAAGAUGGAAUGACUUCUAAUUUUUACGUCUGUAUGAUUUGAAAUACUUGCACACAAACAACGCAAAAGCAUUCCUGGAAAUCUCAUCCUAAAAAAGGACGUUUAGUAAUUCUAAAAGGGACUACAGGAUGAAAAAUAAUAGUUUGGGAAGUUAAAAUUUGAGAUUCGAUAGUGCCGUAGAUCCGUUUGGUCAUCAGGUGUUAGGAGCCACACCCAUGUCUAGCUAGAAUAGUGUGUUAGGCUCAGGCUAGAGAAGAAACAGGGAACAAACUGAUGAAAGAAUGAUCAUACCGAGGGAAUUCACUCAGAACUAGCAAGAAUGAUAACGUGCUCCGACUGGAGCAGUUUUGAAACUGCUGGAAGGCUCUAGGGGAAUAAUGAUGGAAUGACUUCUAAGUUUUUGGUCCGUAUGAUUUGAAAUACGUGCACACAAACCCAGAGAAAGUGUUCUUGGAAAUCUCGGCCGAAAAAAGGAUGUUUAAUAAUUCUAAAAGGGACUACAGGAUGAAAAACAAUAGUUUUGGCAGUUAAAGUUUGUGAUUCGAUGGUGCUGUAGAUCUGUUUGGUCAUCAGGUGUUAUGAGCCACACCCAUGUCUAGCUAGAACAGUGUGUUAGGCUCAGGCUAGAGCAGAAACGGGGAACAAACUUAUGAAAGAAUGAUCAUACCGAGGGAAUUCACUCAGAACUAACAAGAAUGAUAACGUGCUCCGACUGGAGAGGUUUAGGAACUGCUGGAAGGCUCUAGGGGAAUAAAGAUGGAAUGACUUCAAAUUUUUAGGUCUGUAUGAUCUGAAAUACUUGCACACAAACCGCGAGAAAGCGUUCCUGGAAAUCUCAGCCCAAAAAAGGACGUUUAGUGAUUCUAAAAGGGACUACGGGAUAAAAAACAAUAGUUUUGGCAGUUAAAGUUUGAGAUUCGAUAAUGCCGUAGAUCCGUUUGGUCAUCAGGUGUAACGAGCCACACCCAUGUCUAGCUAGAGUAGUGUGCUAGGCUCAUACUAGAGAAGAAAUGGGGAACAAACUGAUGAAAGAAUGAUCAUACCGAGGGAGUUCACUCAAAACUAACAUGAAUGAUAACGUGCUCCGACUGGAGCGGUUUAGGAACUGCUGGAAGGCUCUAGGGGAAUAAAGAUGGAAUGACUUCUAAUUUUUAGGUCCGUAUGAUUUGAAAUACAUGCACACAAACCCCAAGAAAGCGUUCCUGGAAAUCUCGCCCCGAAAAACGACGUUUAGUAAUUCUAAAAGGGACUAUAGGAUGAAAAACAAUAGUUUUGGCAGUUAAAGUUUGAGAUUUGACGGUGCCGUAGAUCUGUUUGGUCAUCAGGUGUUACGAGCCACACCCAUUUCUAGCUAGAAUAGUGUGUUAGGCUCAGGCUAGAAAAGAAACGGGGAACAAAGUGAUGAAAGAAUGAUCAUACCGAGGGAAUUCACUCAGAACUAACAAGAAUGAUAACAUGGUCCGACUGGAGCGGUUUAGGAACUGCUGGAAGGCUCUAGGGGAAUAAAGAUGGAAUGACUUCUAACUUUUAGGUCCGUAUGAUUUGAAUUACUUGCACACAAACCGCGCGAAAGCGUUCCUGGAAAUCUCAGCCCAAAAAAGGACGUUUAGUAAUUCUAAAAGGGACUACAGGAUGAAAAACAAUAGUUUUGGCAGUUAAAGUUUGAGAUUCGACGGUGCCGUAGAUCCGUUUGGUCAGCAGGUGUUACGAGCCACACCCAUGUCUAGCUAGAGUAGUGUGCUAGGUUCAGACUAGAGAAGAAAUGUUGGGGAACGUAGCAGAAAUUCAAAAUUUUCCUACGUGUCACCAAGAUCUAUCUAUGGAGAGACUAGCAACGAGGGAAGGAGAGUGCAUCUACAUACCCUUGUAGAUCGCUAAGCGGAAGCGUUCAAGUGAACGGGGUUGAUGGAGUCGUACUCGUCGUGAUUCAGCUCACCGAUGAUCCUAGUGCCGAACGGACGGCACCUCCGCGUUCAACACACGUACAGCUCGACGAUGUCUCCCACGCCUUGAUCCAGCAAGGAGAGAGGGAGAGGUUGAGGAAGACUCCAUCCAGCAGAAGCACAACGGCGUGGUGGUGAUGGAGGAGCAUGGCAAUCCUGCAGGGCUUCGCCAAGCACCUAUGGGAGAGGAGGAGGUGUCACGGGAGGGAGGGAGGCGCCAAGGGCUCAGGUAUAGAUGCCCUCCCUCCCCUCCACUAUAUAUAGGGGCAAGGGAGAGGGGGGAGGCGCAGCCUUGCCCCUUCCUCCAAGGAAGGGGUGCGGCUAAGAGGGGGGGAGGAGUCCAUCCUCCCCAAGGCACCUCGGAGGUGCCUUCCCCCUUUAGGACUCUCCCCUUUUUCCUAUAUCUUGGCGCAUGGGCCUCUAGGGGCUGGUUCCCUUGGCCCAUGUAGGCCCAGGCGCACCCCCUACAGCCCAUGUGGCCCCCCGGGGCAGGUGGCCCCACCUGGUGGGCCCCCGGGACCCUUCCGGUGGUCCCGGUACAAUACCGAUGACCCCGAAACUUGUCCCGAUGGCCGAAACAGGACUUCCUAUAUAUAAAUCUUUACCUCCGGACAAUUCCGGAACUCCUCGUGACGUCCGGGAUCUCAUCCGGGACUCCGAACAACAUUCGGUAACCACAUACAAACUUCCUUUAUAACCCUAGCGUCAUCGAACCUUAAGUGUGUAGACCCUACGGGUUCGGGAGACAUGUAGUCAUGACCGAGAUGUUCUCCGGUCAAUAACCAACAGCGGGAUCUGGAUACCCAUGUUGGCUCCCACAUGUUCCACGAUGAUCUCAUCGGAUGAACCACGAUGUCAAGGACUCAAUCAAUCCCGUAUACAAUUCCCUUUGUCUAGCGGUAUGGUACUUGCCCGAGAUUCGAUCGUCGGUAUACCGAUACCUUGUUCAAUCUCGUUACCGGCAAGUCUCUUUACUCAUUUCGUAACACAUCAUCCCGUGAUCAACCCCUUGGUCACAUUGUGCACAUUAUGAUGAUGUCCUACCGAGUGGGCCCAGAGAUACCUCUCCGUUUACACGGAGUGACAAAAUCCCAAUCUCGAUUCGUGCCAACCCAACAGACACUUUCAGAGAUACCCGUAGUGUACCUUUACAGCCACCCAGUUACGUUGUGACGUUUGGCACACCCAAAGCACUCCUACAGUAUCCGGGAGUUGCACAAUCUCAUGGUCUAAGGAAAUGAUACUUGACAUUAGAAAAGCUUUAGCAUACGAACUACAUGAUCUUGUGCUAGGCUUAGGAUUGGGUCUUGUCCAUCACAUCAUUCUCCUAAUGAUGUGAUCCCGUUAUCAACGACAUCCAAUGUCCAUGGUCAGGAAACCGUAACCAUCUAUUGAUUAACGAGCUAGUCAACUAGAGGCUUACUAGGGACAUGGUGUUGUCUAUGUAUCCACACAUGUAUCUAAGUUUCCUAUCAAUACAAUUCUAGCAUGGAUAAUAAACGAUUAUCAUGAACAAGGAAAUAUAAUAAUAAUCAAUUUAUUAUUGCCUCUAGGGCAUAUUUCCAACAGUCUCCCACUUGCACUAGAGUCAAUAAUCUAGUUCACAUCGAUAUGUGAUUAACACUCAAGGUCACAUUCCCAUGUGACUAACACCCAAGAGUUUACUAGAGUCAAUAAUCUAGUUCACAUUUACCAUGUGAUUAACACUUGAUGAGUUCUGGGUUUGAUCAUGUUAUGCUUGUGAGAGAGGUUAUAGUCAACGGGUCUGAACCUUUCAGAUCCGUGUGUGCUUUACAAAUCUCUAUGUCAUCUCCUAGAUGCAGCUACCACGUUCUAUUUGGAGCUAUUCCAAAUAACUGUUCUACUUGGAGCUAUUCUAAAUUGUUGCUCCAUUAUACGUAUCCGGUAUCUCUACUCAGAGCUAUCCGGAUAGGUGUUAAGCUUGCAUCGACGUAACCCUUUACGACGAACUCUUUUACCACCUCCAUAAUUGAGAAAAUUCCUUAGUCCACUAGUUACUAAGGAUAACUUUGACCGCUGUCCUGUGAUCCAUUCUUGGAUCACUCUUGUACCCCUUGACUGACUCAUGGUAAAGCACACUUCAGGUGCGGUACACAGCAUAGCAUACUGUAGAGCCUAUGUCUUAAGCAUAGGGGACGACCUUCGUUCCUUUCUCUCUAUUCUGCCAUGGUCGAGCUUUAAGUCUUAACUUCAUACCUUACAACUCAGGCAAGAACUCCUUCUUUGACUGAUCCAUCUUGAACACCUUCAAGAUCACGUCAAGGCAUGUGCUCACGUCAAGAUCACGUCGGUAUACCGAUACCUUGUUCAAUCUCGUUACCGGCAAGUCUCUUUACUCGUUCCGUAACACAUCAUCCCGUGAUCAACCCCUUGGUCACAUUGUGCACAUUAUGAUGAUGUCCUACCGAGUGGGCCCAGAGAUACCUCUCCGUUUACACGGAGUGACAAAAUCCCAAUCUCGAUUCGUGCCAACCCAACAGACACUUUCAGAGAUACCCGUAGUGUACCUUUAUAGCCACCCAGUUACGUUGUGACGUUUGGCACACCCAAAGCACUCCUACGGUAUCCGGGAGUUGCACAAUCUCAUGGUCUAAGGAAAUGAUACUUGACAUUAGAAAAGCUUUAGCAUACGAACUACAUGAUCUUGUGCUAGGCUUAGGAUUGGGUCUUGUCCAUCACAUCAUUCUCCUAAUGAUGUGAUCCCGUUAUCAACGACAUCCAAUGUCCAUGGUCAGGAAACCGUAACCAUCUAUUGAUUAACGAGCCAGUCAACUAGAGGCUUACUAGGGACAUGGUGUUGUCUAUGUAUCCACACAUGUAUCUGAGUUUCCUAUCAAUACAAUUCUAGCAUGGAUAAUAAACGAUUAUCAUGAACAAGGAAAUAUAAUAAUAAUCAAUUUAUUAUUGCCUCUAGGGCAUAUUUCCAACAGUCUCCCACUUGCACUAGAGUCAAUAAUCUAGUUCACAUCACCAUGUGAUUAACACUGACAGGUCACAUCACCAUGUGACCAACAUCCAAAGAGUCUUGGGUUUGAUCAUGUUGCUUGUGAGAGAGGUUAUAGUCAACGGGUCUGAACCUUUCAGAUCCGUGUGUGCUUUACAAAUCUCUAUGUCAUCUCCUAGAUGCAGCUACCACGUUCUAUUUGGAGCUAUUCCAAAUAACUGUUCUACUUGGAGCUAUUCUAAAUUGUUGCUCCAUUAUACGUAUCCGGUAUCUCUACUCAGAGCUAUCCGGAUAGGUGUUAAGCUUGCAUCGACGUAACCCUUUACGACGAACUCUUUUACCACCUCCAUAAUUGAGAAAAUUCCUUAGUCCACUAGUUACUAAGGAUAACUUUGACCGCUGUCCUGCGAUCCAUUCUUGGAUCACCCUUGUACCCCUUGACUGACUCAUGGUAAAGCACACUUCAGGUGCGGUACACAGCAUAGCAUACUGUAGAGCCUAUGUCUUAAGCAUAGGGGAUGACCUUCGUUCCUUUCUCUCUAUUCUGCCAUGGUCGAGCUUUAAGUCUUAACUUCAUACCUUACAACUCAGGCAAGAACUCCUUCUUUGACUGGUCCAUCUUGAACACCUUCAAGAUCAUGUCAAGGUAUGUGCUCAUUUGAAAGUACUAUUAAGCGUUUUGAUCUAUCCUUAUAGAUCUUGAUGCUCAAUGUUCAAGUAGCUUAAUCCAGGUUUUCCAUUGAAAACACUUUCCAAAUAACCCUAUAUGCUUUCCAGAAAUUCUACGUCAUUUCUGAUCAUUAAUAUGUCAACAACAUAUAAUCAUCAGAAAUUCUAUAGUGCUCCCACUCACUUCUUUGGAAAUACAAGUUUCUCAUAAACUUUGUAUACACCCAAAAUCUUUGAUCAUCAUCAAAGCAUACAUUCCAACUCCGAGAUGCUCACUCCAGUCCUCAGAAGGAUUGCUGGAGCUUUGCAUACUUAUUAGCAUAUUUCAGGAUAGACAAAACCUUCCAGUUGUAUCACAUACAACCUUUCCUCAAGAAUCGUCGACGAAACAAUGUUUUGACAUCCUAUCUGCAAGAUUUCAUAAAUAAUGCAGUAAUUGUUAAUAUAAUUCCAACAGACUCUUAGCAUCGCUACGAGUGAGAAAGUCUCAUUGUAGUCAACUCCUUGAACUUGUCAAAAAACAUCUUAACGACAAGUCGAGCUUUCUCAAUGGUGACACUUACCAUCAUUGUCUGUCUUCCUUUCAAAAUCCAUAUGUACCUAACAGCCUUACGACCAUCAAGUAGUUCUUCCAAAGUCUACACUUUGUUUUCAUACAUGGAUCCUCUCUCGGGUUUUAUGGCCAUGAGCCAUUUAUCGGAAUCCGGGCCCACCAUUGCUUCUCCAUAGCUCGUAGGUUCAUUGUUGUCUAGCAACAUGACUUCCAAGACAGGAUUACUGUACCACUCUGAAGUAGUACGUAUCCUUGUCACCCUACGAGGUUUGGGAGUGACUUGAUCUGAAGUUUCAUGAUCACUAUCAUAAGCUUCUACUUCAAUUGGUGUAGGUGCCACAGGAACAACUUCCUGUGCCCUGCUACACACUGGUUGAAGUGAUGGUUCAAUAACCUCAUCAAGUCUCCACCAUCCUCCCACUCAAUUCUUUCGAGAGAAACCUUUCCUCGAGAAAGGACCCAAUUCUAGAAACAAUUCAUAUUGCUUUCGGAUCUGAAUUAGGAAGUAUACCCAACUGUUUUGGGUGUCCUAUGAAGAUGUACUUUAUCCGCUUUGGUUUCGAGCUUAAUCCUGAAACUUUUUCACAUAAGUGUCGCAGCCCCAAACCUUUAAGAAACGACAACUUAGGUUUCUCUAAACCAUAAUUCAUACGGUGUCAUCUCAUCGGAAUUACGUGGUGCCCUAUUUAAAGUGAAUGUGGUUGUCUUUAAUGCCUAACCCAUAAACUAUCGUGGCAGUUCGAUAAGAGACAUCAUGGUAUGCAUCAUAUCCAAUAGGGUGCAACUAUGAUGUUCGGACACACCAUCACACUAUGGUGUUCCAGGCGGUAUUAAUUGUGAAACAAUUUCCACAAUGUCUUAAUUGUGUGCCAAAACUCGUAACUCAGAUACUCAUCUCUAUGAUCAUAUCAUAGACAUUUUAUCCUCUUGUCACAAUGAUCUUCUACUUCACUCUGAAAUUACUUGAACCAUUCAACAAUUCAGACUUGUGUUUCAUCAAGUAAAUAUUCUCAACAUCUACUCGAAUCAUCUGUGAAGUAAGAACAUAACGAUAUUCACUGCAUGCCUCAGCACUCAUUGGACUGCACACAUCAAAAUGUGUUACUUCCAACAAGUUGCUAUCUUGUUCCAUCUUACUGAAAACGAGGCUUUUCAGUCAUCUUGCCCAUGUGGUAUGAUUUGCAUGUCCCAAGUGAUUCAAAAAUCAAGUGAGUCAAAACGGUCCAUUUGCAUGGAGUUUCUUCAUGCAUAUACACCAAUAGACAUGGUUCGCAUGUCUCAAACUUUUCAAAAACGAGUGAGCCCAAAGAUCCAUCAAUAUGGAGCUUCUUCAUGCGUUUUAUACCGAUAUGACUUACGUGGUAGUGCCACAAGUAGGUGGUACUAUCAUUACUAUCUUUUGGCAUGAACAUGUGUAUCACUACGAUCGAGAUUUAAUAAACCAUUCAUUUUAGGUGUAAGACCAUUGAAGGUAUUAUUCAAAUAAACAGAGUAACCAUUAUUCUCCUUAAAUGAAUAACCGUAUUGCGAUAGACGUAAUCCAAUCAUGUCUAUGCUCAACGCAAACACCAAAUAACAAUUAUUUAGGUUUAACACCAAUCUCUUUGGUAGAGGGAGCGUGCGAUGCUUGAUCAUAUCAAGCAUGGAAAAACUUACAACACAUAUCGUCAGCUCACCUUUAGCUAGUCUCUGUUUAUUCCGUAGCCUUUUGUUUCGAGUUACUAACACUUAGCAACCGAACUGGUAUCUAAUACCCUGGUGCUACUAGGAGUACUAGCAAAGUACACAUUAACACAAUGUAUAUCCAAUAUACUUCUAUCGACCUUGCCAGCCUUCUUAUCUACCAAGUAUCUAGGGUAAUUCUGCUCUAGUAGUUGUUCCCCUUAUUACAGAAGCACUUAGUCUCGGGUUUGGGUUUUACCUUGGGUUUCUUCACUAGAGCAGCAGCUGAUUUGCCGUUUCAUGAAGUAUCCCUUCUUGCCCUUGCCCUUCUUGAAACUAGUGGUUCCACCAACCAUCAACAAUUGAUGCUCCUUCUUGAUUUCUACUUUCGCGGUGUCAAACAUCGCGAAUACCUCAAGGAUCAUCAUAUCUAUCCCUGAUAUGUUAUAGUUCAUCAUGAAGCUCUAACAGCUUGGUGGCAAUGACUUUGGAGAACCAUCACUAUCUCAUCUGGAAGAUCAACUCCCACUCGAUUCAAGCGAUUGUUGUACUCAGACAAUCUGAGCACAAGCUCAACGAUUGAGCUUUUCUCCCUUAGUUUGCAGGUUAAGAAAGUCAUCGGAGGUCUUAUACCUCUUGACAUGGGCACGAGCCUGAAAUCCCAAUUUCAGCCCUCAAAACAUCUCAUAUGUUUCGCGAUGUUUCAAAAACGUCUUUGGUGCCUCAACUCUAAACCGUUUAACUGAACUAUCACGUAGUUAUCAAAACGUGUAUGUCAGAUGUUCGCAACAACCACAGACAACGUUCGAGGUUCAGCACACUGAGCGGUGCAUUAAGGACAUAAGCCUUCUAUGAAGCAAUGAGGACAAUCCUCAGUUUACGGACCUAGUCCGCAUAAUUGCUACUAUCAACUUUCAACUAAUUUUUCUCUAGGAACAUAUCUAAACAGUAGAACUAUAGCGUGAGCUACGACAUAAUUUGCAAAAACCUUUUGACUAUGUUCAGGAUAAUUAAGUUCAUCUUAUGAACUCCCACUCAGAUAGACAUCCCUCUAGUCAUCUAAGUGAUUACAUGAUCCGAGUCAAACUAGGCCGUGUCCGAUCAUCACGUGAGACGGACUAGUCAUCAUCGGUGAACAUCUUCAUGUUGAUCGUAUCUUCUAUACGACUCAUGUUCGACCUUUCGGUCUUCGUGUUCCGAGGCCAUGUAUGUACAUGCUAGGCUCGUCAAGUUAACCCUAAGUGUUUCGCGUGUGUAAAUCUGUCUUACACCCGUUGUAUGUGAACGUUAGAAUCUAACACCCGAUCAUCACGUGGUGCUUCGAAACACGAACUGUCGCAACGGUGCACAGUUAGGGGAGAACACUUCUUGAAAUUGUUGUAAGGGAUCAUCUUAUUUACUACCGUCGUUCUAAGCAAAUAAGAUGUAUAAACAUGAUAAACAUCACAUGCAAUCAAAUAGUGACAUGAUAUGGCCAUCAUCACUUUGCUCCUUUUGAUCUCCAUCUUCGGGGCUCCAUGAUCAUCAUCGUCACCGGCAUGACACCAUGAUCUCCAUCAUCAUGAUCUCCAUCAUCGUGUCUUCAUGAAGUUGCCUCGCCAACUAUUACUUCUACUACUAUGGCUAACGGUUAGCAAUAAAGUAAAGUAAUUACAUGACGUUUAAGUUGACACGCAGGUCACAAAUGAAUAAAGACAACUCCUAUGGCUCCUGCCGGUUGUCAUACUCAUCGACAUGCAAGUCGUGAUUCCUAUUACAAGAACAUGAUCAAUCUCAUACAUCACAUAUAUCAUUCAUCACAUCCUUUUUGGCCAUAUCACAUCACAUAGCAUACCCUGCAAAAACAAGUUAGACGUCCUCUAAUUGUUGUUUGCAUGUUUUACGUGGCUGCUAUGGGUUUCUAGCAAGAACGUUUCUUACCUACGCAUGAACAACAACGUGAUAUGCCAAUUGCUAUUUACCCUUCAUAAGGACCCUUUUCAUCGAAUCCGAUCCGACUAAAGUGGGAGAGACAGACACCCGCCAGCCACCUUAUGCAACUAGUGCAUGUUUGUCGGUGGAACCGGUCUCACGUAAGCGUACGUGUAAGGUUGGUCCGGGCCGCUUCAUCCCACGAUGCCGCCGAAUCAAGAUAAGACUAGUAACGGCAAGCAUAUUGAACAAUAUCAACGCCCACAACUACUUUGUGUUCUACUCGUGCAAAGAAUCUACGCAAUAGACCUAGCUCAUGAUGCCACUGUUGGGGAACGUAGCAGAAAUUCAAAAUUUUCCUACGUGUCACCAAGAUCUAUCUAUGGAGAUACUAGCAACGAGGGAAGGAGAGUGCAUCUACAUACCCUUGUAGAUCGCUAAGCGGAAGCGUUCAAGUGAACGGGGUUGAUGGAGUCGUACUCGUCGUGAUUCAGAUCACCGAUGAUCCUAGUGCCGAACGGACGGCACCUCCGCGUUCAACACACGUACAGCUCGACGAUGUCUCCCACGCCUUGAUCCAGCAAGGAGAGAGGGAGAGGUUGAGGAAGACUCCAUCCAGCAGCAGCACAACGGCGUGGUGGUGAUGGAGGAGCGUGGCAAUCCUGCAGGGCUUCGCCAAGCACCUACGGGAGAGGAGGAGGUGUCACGGGAGGGAGGGAGGCGCCAAGGGCUCAGGUAUAGAUGCCCUCCCUCCCCUCCACUAUAUAUAGGGGCAAGGGAGAGGGGGAGGCGCAUCCUUGCCCCUUCCUCCAAGGAAGGGGUGCGGCUAAGAGGGGGGGAGGAGUCCAUCCUCCCCAAGGCACCUCGGAGGUGCCUUCCCCCUUUAGGACUCUCCCCUUUUUCCUAUAUCUUGGCGCAUGGGCCUCUAGGGGCUGGUGCCCUUGGCCCAUGUAGGCCAAGGCGCACCCCCCUACAGCCCAUGUGGCCCCCCGGGGCAGGUGGCCCCACCCGGUGGGCCCCCGGGACCCUUCCGGUGGUCCCGGUACAAUACCGAUGACCCCGAAACUUGUCCCGAUGGCCGAAACAGGACUUCCUAUAUAUAAAUCUUUACCUCCGGACCAUUCCGGAACUCCUCGUGACGUCCGGGAUCUCAUCCGGGACUCCGAACAACAUUCGGUAACCACAUACAAACUUCCUUUAUAACCCUAGCGUCAUCGAACCUUAAGUGUGUAGACCCUACGGGUUCGGGAGACAUGUAGUCAUGACCGAGAUGUUCUCCGGUCAAUAACCAACAGCGGGAUCUGGAUACCCAUGUUGGCUCGCACAUGUUCCACGAUGAUCUCAUCGGAUGAACCACGAUGUCAAGGACUCAAUCAAUCCCGUAUACAAUUCCCUUUGUCUAGCGGUAUGGUACUUGCCCGAGAUUCGAUCGUCGGUAUACCGAUACCUUGUUCAAUCUCGUUACCGGCAAGCCUCUUUACUCGUUCCGUAACACAUCAUCCCGUGAUCAACCCCUUGGUCACAUUGUGCACAUUAUGAUGAUGUCCUACCGAGUGGGCCCAGAGAUACCUCUCCGUUUACACGGAGUGACAAAAUCCCAAUCUCGAUUCGUGCCAACCCAACAGACACUUUCAGAGAUACCCGUAGUGUACCUUUAUAGCCACCCAGUUACGUUGUGACGUUUGGCACACCCAAAGCACUCCUACGGUAUCCGGGAGUUGCACAAUCUCAUGGUCUAAGGAAAUGAUACUUGACAUUAGAAAAGCUUUAGCAUACGAACUACAUGAUCUUGUGCUAGGCUUAGNNNNNNNNNNUGAUCAACCCCUUGGUCACAUUGUGCACAUUAUGAUGAUGUCCUACCGAGUGGGCCCAGAGAUACCUCUCCGUUUACACGGAGUGACAAAAUCCCAAUCUCGAUUCGUGCCAACCCAACAGACAUUUUCAGAGAUACCCGUAGUGUACCUUUAUAGCCACCCAGUUACGUUGUGACGUUUGGCACACCCAAAGCACUCCUACGGUAUCCGGGAGUUGCACAAUCUCAUGGUCUAAGGAAAUGAUACUUGACAUUAGAAAAGCUUUAGCAUACGAACUACAUGAUCUUGUGCUAGGCUUAGGAUUGGGUCUUGUCCAUCACAUCAUUCUCCUAAUGAUGUGAUCCCGUUAUCAACGACAUCCAAUGUCCAUGGUCAGGAAACCGUAACCAUCUAUUGAUUAACGAGCUAGUCAACUAGAGGCUUACUAGGGACAUGGUGUUGUCUAUGUAUCCACACAUGUAUCUGAGUUUCCUAUCAAUACAAUUCUAGCAUGGAUAAUAAACGAUUAUCAUGAACAAGGAAAUAUAAUAAUAAUCAAUUUAUUAUUGCCUCUAGGGCAUAUUUCCAACAAGAAACGGGGAACAAACUGAUGAAAGAAUGAUCAUACCGAGGGAAUUCACUCAGAACUAACAAGAAUGAUAACGUGCUUUGACUGGAGCGGUUUAAAAACUGCUGGAAGGCUCUAGGGGAAUAAAGAUGGAAUGCCUUCAAAUUUCUAGGUCCGUAUGAUUUGAAAUACUUGCACACAAACCGCGCGAAAGCGUUCCUGGAAAUCUCAGCCCAAAAAAGGACGUUUAGUAAUUCUAAAAGGGACUACAGAAUGAAAAACAAUAGUUUUGGCAGUUAAAGUUUGAGAUUCGAUGGUGCCGUAGAUCCGUUUGGUCAUCAGGUGUAACGAGCCACACCCAUGUCUAGCUAGAGUAGUGUGCUAGGCUCAGGCUAGAGAAGAAACGGGGAACAAACUGAUGAAAGAAUGAUCAUACCGAGGGAAUUCACUCAGAACUAACAAGAAUGAUAACGUGCUCCGACUGGAGCGGUUUAGGAACUGCUGGAAGGCUCUAGGGGAAGAAAGAAGGAAUGACUUCUAAUUUUUAGGUCCGUAUGAUUUGAAAUACGUGCACACAAACCGCGCGAAAGCGUUCCUGGAAAUCUCAGCCCAAAAAAGGACGUUUAGUAUUCUAAAAGGGACUACAGAAUGAAAAACAAUAGUUUUGGCAGUUAAAGUUUGAGAUUCGACGGUGCCGUAGAUCCGUUUGGUCAUCAGGUGUUACGAGCCACACCCAUGUCUAGCUAGAAUAGUGUGCNNNNNNNNNNNNNNNNNNNNNNNNNCGUAUGAUUUGAAAUACGUGCACACAAACCGCGCGAAAGCGUUCCUGGAAAUCUCAGCCCAAAAAAGGACGUUUAGUAUUCUAAAAGGGACUACAGAAUGAAAAACAAUAGUUUUGGCAGUUAAAGUUUGAGAUUCGACGGUGCUGUAGAUCCGUUUGGUCAUCAGGUGUUACGAGCCACACCCAUGUCUAGCUAGAAUAGUGUGCUAGGCUCAGGCUAGAGAAGAAAAGGGGAACAAACUAAUGAAAGAAUGAUCAAUACGAGGGAAUUCACUCAGAACUAACAAUAAUGAUAACGUGCUCCGACUGGAGCGGUUUAGGAACUGCUGGAAGGCUCUAGGCGAAUAAAGAUGGAAUGACUUCUAAUUUUUACGUCCGUAUGAUUUGAAAUACUUGCACACAAACCACGCAAAAGCGUUCCUGGAAAUCUCGGCCUAAAAAGGACGUUUAGUAAUUCUAAAAGGGACUACAGGAUGAAAAAUAAUAGUUUGGGCAGUUAAAAUUUGAGAUUCGACGGUGCCGUAGAUCCGUUUGGUCAUCAGGUGUUACGAGCCACACCCAUGUCUAGCUAGAAUAGUGUGUUAGGCUCAGGCUAGAGAAGAAACGAGGAACAAACUGAUGAAAGAAUGAUCAUACCAAGGGAAUUCACUCAGAACUAACAAGAAUGAUAACGUGCUCCGACUGGAGCAGUUUAGAAACUGCUGGAAGGCUCUAGGGGAAUAAAGAUGGAAUGACUUCUGAUUUUUAGGUCCGUAUGAUUUGAAAUACGUGCACACAAACCCCGCGAAAGCGUUCCUGGAAAUCUCAGCCCAAAAAAGGACGUUUAGUAAUUCUAAAAGGGACUACAACAUGAAAAACAAUAGUUUUGGCAGUUAAAGUUUGAGAUUUCAUGGUGCCGUAGAUCUGUUUGGUCAUCAGGUGUUACGAGCCACACCCAUGUCUAGCUAGAAUAGUGUGUUAGGCUCAGGCUAGAAAAGAAACGGGAAACAAAGUGAUGAAAGAAUGACCAUACCGAGGGAAUUCACUCAGAACUAACAAGAAUGAUAACAUGCUCCGACUUGAGCGGUUUAGGAACUGCUGGAAGGCUCUAGGGGAAUAAAGAUGGAAUGACUUCUAAUGUUUAGGUCCGUAUGAUUUGAAAUACUUGCACAUAAACCGCACAAAAGCGUUCCUGGAAAUCUCAGCCCAAAAAAGGACGUUUAGUAAUUCUAAAAGGGACUACAGGAUGAAAAACAAUAGUUUUGGCAGUUAAAGUUUGAGAUUCGACGGUGCCGUAGAUCCGUUUGGUCAUCAGGUGUUACGAGCCACACCCAUGUCUAGCUAGAAUAGUGUGUUAGGCUCAGGCUAGAGAAGAAACUUGGAACAAACUGAUGAAAGAAUGAUCAAACCAACGGAAUUCACUCAGAACUAACAAUAAUGAUAACGUGCUCCGACUGGAGCAGUUUAGGAACUGCUGGAAGGCUCUAGGGGAAUAAAGAUGGAAUGACUUCUAAUUUUUAGGUCCGUAUGAUUUGAAAUACUUGCACGCAAACCGCGCGAAAGCGUUCCUGGAAAUAUCAGCCCAAAAAAGGACGUUUAGUAAUUCUAAAAGGGACUACAGGAUGAAAACAAUAGUUUUGGCAGUUAAAGUUUGAGAUUCAACAGUGCCGUAGAUCCGUUUGGUCAUCAGGUGUUAUGAGCCAUACCCAUGUCUAGCUAGAGUAGUGUGCUAGGCUCAGGCUAGAGAAGAAACAGGGAACAAACUGAUGAAAGAAUGAUCAUACCGAGGGAAUUCACUCAGAACUAACAAGAAUGAUAACGUGCUCCGACUGGAGCGGUUUAGGAACUGCUGGAAGGCUCUAGGGGAAUAAAGAUGGAGUGACUUCUAAAUUUUUAGGUCCGUAUGAUUUAAAAUACUUGCACACAAACCGCACGAAAGCGUUCCUUGAAAUCUCAGCCCAAAAAAGGACGUUUAGUAAGUCUAAAAGGGACUAUAGGAUGAAAAACAAUAGUUUUGGCAGUUAAAGUUUGAGAUUCGAUGGUGCCGUAGAUCUGUUUGGUCAUCAGGUGUUACGAGCCACACCCAUGUCUAGUUGGAAUAGUGUGCUAGGCUCAGACUAGAGAAGAAACAGGGAACAAACUGAUGAAAGAAUGAUCAAACCGAGGAAAUUCACUCAGAACUAACAAUAAUGAUAACAUGCUCCGACUGGAGCGGUUUAGGAACUGCUGGAAGGCUCUAGGGGAAUAAAGAUGGAAUGACUUCUAAAUUUUUAGGUCCGUAUGAUUUGAAAUAGUUGCACACAAACUGCGCGAAAGCGUUCCUGGAAAUCUCAGCCCAAAAAAGGACGUUUAGUAAUUCUAAAAGGGACUAUAGGAUGAAAAACAAUAGUUUUGGCAGUUAAAGUUUGAGAUUCGACGGUGCCGUAGAUCCGUUUGGUCAUCACGUGUUACAAGCCACACCCAUGUCUAGCUAGAGUAGUGUGCUAGGCUCAGACUAUAGAAGAAACGGGGACCAAACUGAUGAAAGAAUGAUCAAACCGAGGAAAUUCACUCAGAACUAACAAUAAUGAUAACAUGCUCCGACUGGAGCGGUUUAGGAACUACUGGAAGGCUCUAGGGGAAUAAAGAUGGAAUGACUUCUAAAUUUUUAGGUCCGUAUGAUUUUAAAUAGUUGCACACAAACUGCGCGAAAGCGUUCCUGGAAAUCUCAGCCCAAAAAAGGACGUUUAGUAAUUCUAAAAGGGACUACAGGAUGAAAAACAAUAGUUUGGGCAGUUAAAAUUUGAGAUUCGACGGUGCCGUAGAUCCGUUUGGUCAUCAGGUGUUACGAGCCACACCCAUGUCUAGCUAGAGUAGUGUGCUAGGCUCAGGCUAGAGAAGAAACAGGGAACAAACUGAUGAAAGAAUGAUCAUACCGAGGGAAUUCACUCAGAACUAACAAGAAUGAUAACGUGCUCUGACUGGAGCGGUUUAAGAACUGUUGGAAGGCUCUAGGGGAAUAAAGAUGGAAUCACUUCAAAUUUUUACGUCCGUGUGAUUUGAAAUACUUGCACACAAACCGCACGAAAGCGUUCCUGGAAAUCUCAGCCCAAAAAAGGACGUUUAGUAAGUCUAAAAGGGACUACACGAUGAAAAACAAUAGUUUUGGCAGUUAAAGUUUGAGAUUCGACAGUGCCGUAGAUCCGUUUGGUCAUCAGGUGUAACGAGCCACACCCAUGUCUAGAUAGAGUAGUGUGCUAGGCUCAAACUAGAGAAGAAACGGGGAACAAACUGAUGAAAGAAUGAUCAUACCGAGGGAAUUCACUCAGAAAUAACAAGAAUGAUAACGUGCUCUGACUGGAGCGGUUUAGGAACUGCUGGAAGGCUCUAGGGGAAUAAAGAAGGAAUGACUUCUAAUUUUUAGGUCCGUAUGAUUUGAAAUACGUGCACACAAACCCCGAGAAAGCGUUCCUGGAAAUCUCGACCCAAAAAAGGACGUUUAGUAAUUCUAAAAGGGACUACGGGAUGAAAAACAAUAGUUUUGGCAGUUAAAGUUUGAGAUUCGAUAAUGCCGUAGAUCCAUUUGGUCAUCAGGUGUAACGAGCCACACCCAUGUCUAGCUAGAGUAGUGUGCUAGGCUCAGACUAGAGAAGAAACAGGGAACAAACUGAUGAAAGAAUGAUCAUAUCGAGGGAAUUCACUCAGAACUAACAAGAAUGAUAACAUGCUCCGACUUGAGCGGUUUAGGAACUGCUGGAAGGCUCUAGGGGAAUAAAGAUGGAAUGACUUCUAAUUUUUAGGUCCGUAUGAUUUGAAAUACUUACACACAAACCACGCGAAAGCGUUCCUGGAAAUCUCAGCCCAAAAAAGGACGUUUAGUAAUUCUAAAAGGGACUACAUGAUGAAAAACAAUAGUUUUCGCAGUUAAAGUUUGAGAUUCGACGGUGCCGUAGAUCCGUUUGGUCAUCAAGUGUUACGAGCCACACCCAUGUCUAGCUAGAAUAGUGUGUUAGGCUCAGCCUAGAGAAGAAACGGGGAACAAACUGAUGAAAGAAUGAUCAUACCGAGGGAAUUCACUCAGAACUUACAAGAAUGAUAACGUGCUCCGACUUGAGCGGUUUAAGAACUGUUGGAAGGCUCUAGGGGAAUAAAGAUGGAAUCACUUCAAAUUUUUACGUCCGUGUGAUUUGAAAUACUUGCACACAAACCCCGAGAAAGCGUUCCUGGAAAUCUCGGCCGAAAAAAGGAUGUUUAAUAAUUCUAAAAGGGACUACAGGAUGAAAAACAAUAGCUUUGGCAGUUAAAGUUUGUGAUUCGAUGGUGCCGUAGAUCUGUUUGGUCAUCAGGUGUUAUGAGCCACACCCAUGUCUAGCUAGAAUAGUGUGUUAGGCUCAGGCUAGAGCAGAAACUAGGAACAAACUUAUGAAAGAAUGAUCAUACCGAGGGAAUUCACUCAGAACUAACAAGAAUGAUAACGUGCUCCGACUGGAGCGGUUUAGGAACUGCUGGAAGGCUCUAGGGGAAUAAAGAUGGAAUGACUUCUAAUUUUUAGGUCCGUAUGAUUUGAAAUACAUGCACACAAACCCCAAGAAAGCGUUCCUAGAAAUCUCAGCCCAAAAAGGACGUUUAGUAAUUCUAAAAGGGACUACAGGAUGAAAAACAAUAGGUUUGGCAGUUAAAGUUUGAGAUUCGAUAAUGCCGUAGAUCCGUUUGGUCAUCAGGUGUAACGAGCCACACCCAUGUCUAGCUACAUUAGUGUGCUAGGCUCAGACUAGAGAAGAAACGGGGAACAAACUGAUGAAAGAAUGAUCAUACCGAGGGAAUUCACUCAGAACUAACAAGAACGAUAACAUGCUCCGACUGCAGCGGUUUAGGAACUGCUGGAAGGCUCUAGGGGAAUAAAGAAGGAAUGACUUCUAAUUUUUAGGUCCGUAUGAUUUGAAAUACUUGCACACAAACCGCGCGAAAGCAUUCCUGGAAAUCUCAGCCCAAAAAAGGACGUUUAGUAAUUCUAAAAGGGACUACAGGAUGAAAAACAAUAAUUUUGGCAGUUAAAGUUUGAGAUUCGACGGUGCCGUAGAUCCGUUUGGUCAUCAGGUGUUACGGGCCAUACCCAUGUCUAGCUAGAAUAGUGUGUUAGGCUCAGGUUAGAGAAGAAACGGGGAACAAAGUGAUGAAAGAAUGAUCAUACCGAGGGAAUUCACUCAGAACUAACAAGAAUGAUAACGUGCUCCGACUGGAGCGGUUUAGGAAUUGCUGGAAGGCUCUAGGGGAAUAAAGAUGGAAUGACUUCUAUAUUUUACGUCCGUAUGAUUUGAAAUACUUGCACACAAACCACGCAAAAGCACUCCUGGAAAUAUCAGCCUAAAAAGGAUGUUUAGUAAUUCUAAAAGGGACUACAGGAUGAAAAAUAAUAGUUUUGGCAGUUAAAAUUUGAGAUUCAACGGUGCCGUAAAUCCGUUUGGUCAUCAGGUGUUACGAGCCACACCCAUGUCUAGCUAGAAUAGUGUGUUAGGCUCAGGUUAGAGAAGAAACGGGGAACAAACUGAUGAAAGAAUGAUCAUACAAGGGGAAUUCACUCAGAACUAUCAAGAAUGAUAACGUGCUCCGACUGGAGCAGUUUAGGAACUGCCGGAAGGCUCUAGGGGAAUAAAGAUGGAAUGACUUCUAAUUUUUAUGUCCGUAUGAUUUGAAAUACUUGCACACAAACCACGCAAAAGCGUUCCUGGAAAUCUCAGCCUAAAAAGGACGUUUAGUAAUUCUAAAAGGGACUACAGGAUGAAAAACAAUAGUUUGGGCAGUUAAAAUUCGAGAUUCGACGGUGCCGUAGAUCCGUUUGGUCAUCAGGUGUUACGAGCCACACCCAUGUCUAGCUAGAAUAGUGUGUUAGGCUCAGGCUAGAGAAGAAACGGGGAACAAACUGAUGAAAGAAUGAUCAUAUCGAGGGAAUUCACUCAGAACUAACAAGAAUGAUAACGUGCUCCGACUGGAGCGGUUUAGUAACUGCUGGAAGGCUCUAGGGGAAUAAAGAUGGAAUGACUUCUAAUUAUUAGGUCCGUAAGAUUUGAAUUACAUGCACACAAACCCCGAGAAAGCGUUCCUGGAAAUCUCGGUCGAAAAAAGGAUGUUUAGUAAUUCUAAAAGGGACUACAGGAUGAAAAACAAUAGUUUUGGCAGUUAAAGUUUGUGAUUCGAUGGUGCCGUAGAUCUGUUUGGUCAUCAGGUGUUACGAGCCACACCCAUGUCUAGCUAGAAUAGUGUGUUAGGCUCAGGCUAGAGCAGAAACGGGGAACAAACUUAUGAAAGAAUGAUCAUGCCGAGGGAAUUCACUCAGAACUAACAAGAAUGAUAACGUGCUCCGACUGGAGCGGUUUAGGAACUGCUGGAAGGCUCUAGGGGAAUAAAGAUGGAAUGACAUCAAAUUUUUAGGUCCGUAUGAUUUGAAAUACUUGCACACAAACCGCAAGAAAGCGUUCUUGGAAAUCUCCGCCCAAAAAAGGACGUUUAGUAAUUCUAAAAGGGUCUACAGGAUGAAAAACAAUAGUUCUGGCAGUUAAAGUUUGAGAUUCGAUAAUGUCGUAGAUCCGUUUGGUCAUCAGGCGUAACGAGCCACACCCAUUUCUAGCUAGAGUAGUGUGCUAGGCUCAGACUAGAGAAGAAACGGGGAACAACCUGAUGAAAGAAUGAUCAUACCGAGGGAAUUCACUCAGAACUAACAAGAAUGAUAACGUGCUCCGACUGGAGCGGUUUAGGAACUGCUGGAAGGCUCUACGGGAAUAAAGAAGGAAUGACUUCUAAUUUUUAGGUCCGUAUGAUUUGAAAUACGUGCACACAAACCCCGAGAAAGCGUUCCUGGAAAUCUCGGCCCAAAAAAGGACGUUUAGUAUUCUAAAAGCGACUACAGAAUGAAAAACAAUAGUUUUGGUAGUUAAAGUUUGAGAUUUAACGGUGCCGUAGAUCUGUUUGGUCAUCAGGUGUUACGAGCCACACCCAUGUCUAGCUAGAAUAGUGUGUUAGGCUCAGGCUAGAUAAGAAACAGGGAACAAAGUGAUGAAAGAAUGAUCAUACCAAGGGAAUUCACUCAGAACUAACAAGAACGAUAACAUGCUCCGACUGGAGUGGUUUAGGAACUGCUGGAAGGCUCUAGGGGAAUAAAGAUGGAAUGACUUCUAAUUUUUAGGUCUGUAUGAUUUGAAAUACUUGCACACAAACCGCACGAAAGCGUUCCUGGAAAUCUCAUCCCAAAAAAGGACGUUUAGUAAUUCUAAAAGGGACUACAGGAUGAAAAACAAUAGUUUUGGCAGUUAAAGUUUGAGAUUCGAUAAUGCUGUAGAUCCGUUUGGUCAUCAGGUGUAACGAGCCACACCCAUGUCUAGCUAGAGUAGUGUGCUAGGCUCAGACUAGAGAAGAAACGGGGAACAAACUGAUGAAAGAAUGAUCAUACCGAGGGAAUUCACUCAGAACUAACAAUAAUGAUAACGUGCUCCGACUGGAGCGGUUUAGGAACUGCUGGAAGGCUCUAGGGGAAUAAAGAUGGAAUGAGUUCUAAUUUUUAGGUCUGUAUGAUUUGAAAUACUUGCACACAAACCGCGUGAAAGCAUUCCUGGAAAUUUCAGCCCAAAAAAGGACGUUUAGUAAUUUUAAAAGGGACUACACGAUGAAAAACAAUAGUUUUGGCAGUUAAAGUUUGAGAUUCGACGGUGCCGUAGAUCCGUUUGGUCAUCAGGUGUUACGAGCCACACCCAUGUCUAGCUAGAAUAGUAUGUUAGGCUCGGGUAAGAGAAGAAACGGGGAACAAACUGAUGAAAGAAUGAUCAUACCAAGGGAAUUCACUCAGAACUAACAAGAAUGAUAACGUGCUCCGACUGGAGCGGUUUAGGAACUGCUGGAAGGCUCUAGGGGAAUAAAGAUGGAAUGACUUCUAAUUUUUACGUUCGUAUGAUUUGAAAUACUUGCACACAAACCACGCAAAAGCGUUCCUGGAAAUCUCAUCCUAAAAAAGGACGUUUAGUAAUUCUAAAAGGGACUACAGGAUGAAAAAUAAUAGUUUGGGCAGUUAAAAUUUGAGAUUCGACGGUGCCGUAGAUCCGUUUGGUCAUCAGGUGUUACGAGCCACACCCAUGUCUAGCUAGAAUAGUGUGUUAGGCUCAGGCUAGAGAAGAAACGGGGAACAAACUGAUGAAAGAAUGAUCAUAUCGAGGGAAUUCACUCAGAACUAACAAGAAUGAUAACGUGCUCCGACUGGAGCAGUUUAGAAACUGCUGGAAGGCUCUAGGGGAAUAAAGAUGGAAUGACUUCUAAUUUUUAGGUCUGUAUGAUUUGAAAUACGUGCACACGAACCCCGAGAAAGCGUUCCUGGAAAUCUCGGCCCAAAAAAGGACGUUUAGUAAUUCUAAAAGGGACUACAGGAUGAAAAACAAUAGUUUUGGCAGUUAAAGUUUGAGAUUCGACGGUGCCGUAGAUCCGUUUGUUCAUCAGGUGUUACGAGCCACACCCAUGUCUAGCUAGAAUAGUGUGUUAGGCUCAGGCUAGAGAAGAAACGGGGAACAAACUGAUGAAAGAAUGAUCAUACCGAGGGAAUUCACUCAGAACUAACAAGAAUGAUAACGUGCUCCGACUGGAGCGGUUUAGGAACUGCUAGAAGGCUCUAGGGGAAUAAAGAAGGAAUGACUUCUAAUUUUUAGGUCCGUAUGAUUUGAAAUACGUGCACACAAACCCCGAGAAAGCGUUCCUGGAAAUCUUGGCCCAAAAAAGGACGUUUAGUAUUCUAAAAGCGACUACAGAAUGAAAAACAAUAGUUUUGCUAGUUAAAGUUUGAGAUUUGAUGGUGCCGUAGAUCUGUUUGGUCAUCAGGUUUUACGAGCCACACCCAUGUCUAGCUAGAAUAGUGUGUUAGGCUCAGGCUAGAAAAGAAACAGGGAAUAAAGUGAUGAAAGAAU
Molecule: long non-coding RNA, 26706 nt
Filed under: Triticum aestivum (bread wheat)
Lineage: Eukaryota; Viridiplantae; Streptophyta; Magnoliopsida; Poales; Poaceae
Description: long non-coding RNA (TAES_LNC019907)
Source: RNAcentral